UUCCGGUUGAUCCCGCCGGACCUGACUGCUAUCGGAUUGAUACUAAGCCAUGUGAGUCAUUGUAGCAAUACAAGGCAGACGGCUCAGUAACACGUAGUCAAUCUACCCUAUGGACGGGGAUAACCUCGGGAAACUGAGGAUAACACCCGAUAGAUCAUAAUUCCUGGAAUGGUUUAUGGUCCAAACGAUUCGUCGCCAUAGGAUGGGACUGCGGCCUAUCAGCUUGUUGGUGAGGUAAUGGCCCACCAAGGCUAUUACAGGUACGGGCUCUGAGAGGAGAAGCCCGGAGAUGGGUACUGAGACACGGACCCAGGCCCUAUGGGGCGCAGCAGGCGAGAAACCUUUGCAAUGUGCGCAAGCACGACAAGGUUAAUCCGAGUGGUUCCUGCUUAAGGAAUCUUUUGUUAGUUGUAAAACCACUAUCGAAUAAGGGGUGGGCAAGUUCUGGUGUCAGCCGCCGCGGUAAAACCAGCACCUCAAGUGGUCAGGAGGAUUAUUGGGCCUAAAGCAUCCGUAGCCUGUUCUGUAAGUUUUCGGUUAAAUCCAUUAGCUCAACUAAUGGGCCGCCGAAAAUACUGUAGAACUAGGGAGUGGGAGAGGUAGACGGUAUUCGGUAGGAAGGGGUAAAAUCCUUUGAUCUAUUGAGGACCACCUGUGGCGAAGGCGGUCUACCAGAACACGUUCGACGGUGAGGGAUGAAAGCUGGGGGAGCAAACCGGAUUAGAUACCCGGGUAGUCCCAGCUGUAAACGAUGCAGACUCGGUGAUGCCCUGGCUUGUGGCCAGUGCAGUGCCGCAGGGAAGCCGUUAAGUUUGCCGCCUGGGAAGUACGUACGCAAGUAUGAAACUUAAAGGAAUUGGCGGGGGAGCACCACAAGGGGUGAAGCCUGCGGUUCAAUUGGAUUCAACGCCGGA
Molecule: ribosomal RNA, 914 nt
Filed under: uncultured archaeon
Lineage: Archaea
Description: bacterial SSU rRNA
Rfam family: Archaeal small subunit ribosomal RNA
Source: RNAcentral